GAACGCUGGCGGCGUGCCUAACACAUGCAAGUCGAACGAAGCAUCGCGCCCGACAAAGAGGAGUGCUUGCACAAAUCGGAGUCAAUUGUGAUGACUUAGUGGCGGACGGGUGAGUAACGCGUGGGUAACCUGCCCUAUACAGGGGGAUAACAGUUAGAAAUGACUGCUAAUACCGCAUAAGCGCACACUACCGCAUGGUAGAGUGUGAAAAGCCGAGACGGUAUAGGAUGGACCCGCGUCUGAUUAGCCAGUUGGCAGGGUAACGGCCUACCAAAGCAACGAUCAGUAGCCGGCCUGAGAGGGUGAACGGCCACAUUGGGACUGAGACACGGACCCAAACUCCUACGGGAGGCAGCAGGUGGGGAUAUUGCACAAUGGGGGAAACCCUGAUGCAGCCGACGCCGCGUGAGCGAAGAAGUAUUUCGGUAUGUAAAGCUCUAUCAGCAGGGAAGAAAAUGACGGUACCUGACUAAGAAGCUCCGGCUAAAUACGUGCCAGCCGCUGC
RNAcentral lists this ribosomal RNA (505 nucleotides) under uncultured bacterium. RNAcentral describes it as "bacterial SSU rRNA". It matches the Rfam family "Bacterial small subunit ribosomal RNA", at positions 31 to 518 of the family's 1533-position model. The record is from RNAcentral.